Molecule: transfer RNA, 71 nt
Filed under: Loxodonta africana (African savanna elephant)
Lineage: Eukaryota; Metazoa; Chordata; Mammalia; Proboscidea; Elephantidae
Rfam family: tRNA
About the family: Transfer RNA (tRNA) molecules are approximately 80 nucleotides in length. Their secondary structure includes four short double-helical elements and three loops (D, anti-codon, and T loops).
Source: Rfam by way of RNAcentral
UCAGUCGUGGUUCAGUGGUAGAAUUCCUACCUUCCAUGUGGGAAACUCAGGUUCUAUUCUUGGCCAGUGUA